RNAcentral lists this ribosomal RNA (711 nucleotides) under Gastrophryne carolinensis (eastern narrow-mouthed toad). RNAcentral describes it as "partial 12S ribosomal RNA". The stretch from base 1 to 507 matches the Rfam family "Bacterial large subunit ribosomal RNA", at positions 583 to 1301 of the family's 2925-position model. Lineage: Eukaryota; Metazoa; Chordata; Amphibia; Anura; Microhylidae. The record is from RNAcentral.
UAGAAAUUAAAUAAAAAUUAAGCACAACAAAGCAGAGACUCCCCUCGUACCUUUUGCAUCAUGGUUUAGCUAGUCAAACCAAGCACAAAGAAUUUUAGUUUGACCUCCCGAAACUAGGUGAGCUACUUCAAAACAGCCUAUCAAGGGCCAACCCGUCUCUGUUGCAAAAGAGUGGGAAGAUUUUCAAGUAGAGGUGACAGACCUACCGAACCUAGAGAUAGCUGGUUAUUUAGGAAAAGGAUUUUAGUCCUACCUUAAGUUCUUCCUUUAUUAAUAAAACAACUCCGAACUUAAGAGCUAUUCAAACAAGGUACAGCCUGUUUGAAACAGGGAACAACCUCAAAAAUAGGGUAACUCCAAAUGACAGGUGUCCAAGUGGGCCUAAAAGCAGCCAACUUUAAAAAAGCGUUACAGCUUCCUCACCAGUCACUUUAAUACCAAAAACACUACAUAACCCUUACCCAGUACUAAAUAACUCUAUACCCCUAUAGAAAUUAUUAUGCUAAAACUAGUAACAUGAAGAAGCCCUUCUCCUAAAUGUACACGUACGCCAAAAAGAACAAUUCAUUGGCAUUUAACGCUACUGACCCUAAAGCAACAACUAUACAAGAGAAUCUUGCUAACACCAACGUUAACCUAACACAAGAACAUUUCAGGAAAGAUUAAAAGAGGUGGAAGGAACUCGGCAAAUUUUAACCCCGCCUGUUUACC